GUGAUGUUAAGAGGCCAGGAGGAGCCAUUGGGUCUCGGAUGGGCAUGCACAGUAAGAGGAACCGUACAAUUGGUCUUGGUGAGCAUGAACAACUCGAUCUCAUGGUGACUGAAUCAGUAAUCCGAUGGGCAUCAUGCACGCGUCUCCCAACUGCUCCAUCUCUUAGGUCUUCUCUUGUUUGUUGAAACUUGAAAGGGAGGGCUGACUGACAACCUGAAGCUAAAGAAUGUAUGUAACCGGACGCUCGGAUGGAUGAUUGAUGUGGGAGAAAUUGGCAUGCCAACGCUAGUUUCUACCAGCCAAUGUAUUUGUAAUACGUUUGUUUGUCCUGUUUUGCUGAAUCAUGGUGAGCAAGUCUUAGGCAAGCUUCUAAUGGUGGUGUGUUUUGAGUGAUGUCUUUUUGUUAUCGUCAGUUUGUCAACUACUAGGUUGCAAGAGCACCAAGCAGCGAGUAAUGGGCUGCUGCCUUGUUUAUAAAGCUGAAUUUUGUAGUAUGAAGUUUUCCGAGUUUCAUCAUUCUGUGUUCCAUGAAUGCAAGAAUGUGGUGAUUGAAUCUUCCUCUUCGUUUCCCAACAUACUUUGUGCGAAGUUGGUUGGUAAGAAAUGGUUGACUUUAUCUAUUUAUUUUUUUAACAAUGGAGAGGUAUAGGAUUCAAACUUUUUUUUUUUUUUUUUUUUUU
Molecule: unclassified non-coding RNA, 680 nt
Filed under: Hevea brasiliensis (rubber tree)
Lineage: Eukaryota; Viridiplantae; Streptophyta; Magnoliopsida; Malpighiales; Euphorbiaceae
Source: RNAcentral